GACGAACGCUGGCGGCGUGCUUAACACAUGCAAGUCGAACGGAAAGGCCCUGCUUUUGUGGGGUGCUCGAGUGGCGAACGGGUGAGUAACACGUGAGUAACCUGCCCCUGACUUUGGGAUAACUUCAGGAAACUGGGGCUAAUAUCGGAUAGGAGCUCCUGCUGCAUGGUGGGGGUUGGAAAGAUUCGGCGGUUGGGGAUGGACUCGCGGCUUAUCAGCUUGUUGGUGGGGUAGUGGCUUACCAAGGCUUUGACGGGUAGCCGGCCUGAGAGUGUGACCGGCCACAUUGGGACUGAGAUACGGCCCAGACUCCUACGGGAGGCAGCAGUGGGAAAUAGUGCGCAAUGGGCGGAAGGCUGAUGCAGCAACGCCGCGUGCGGGAUGACUGCCUUCGGGUUGUAAACCGCGUUCGCCUGUGACGAAGCGUGAGUGACGGUAAUGGGUAAGGAAGCACCGGCUAACUACGUG
RNAcentral lists this ribosomal RNA (468 nucleotides) under uncultured bacterium. RNAcentral's name for it is "partial 16S ribosomal RNA". It matches the Rfam family "Bacterial small subunit ribosomal RNA", at positions 28 to 507 of the family's 1533-position model. The record is from RNAcentral.